Molecule: RNase P RNA, 400 nt
Filed under: Nitratireductor basaltis
Lineage: Bacteria; Pseudomonadati; Pseudomonadota; Alphaproteobacteria; Hyphomicrobiales; Phyllobacteriaceae
Description: Bacterial RNase P class A
Rfam family: Bacterial RNase P class A
About the family: Ribonuclease P (RNase P) is a ubiquitous endoribonuclease, found in archaea, bacteria and eukarya as well as chloroplasts and mitochondria. Its best characterised activity is the generation of mature 5'-ends of tRNAs by cleaving the 5'-leader elements of precursor-tRNAs.
Source: Rfam by way of RNAcentral
CCAGUCGGUCGGGCGGCCGCAUGUGCAAAUGCCGAAAGGCUGCAUGUGAGGAAAGUCCGGGCUCCAUGGAACAACGGUGCCGGGUAACGCCCGGCGGGGGUGACCCCAGGGACAGUGCCACAGAAAGCAAACCGCCCGCGGGCCUUCGGGCUGGCGGGCAAGGGUGAAAGGGUGGUGUAAGAGACCACCGCGUUGCCUGGUAACAGGCGCGGCAAGGUAAACCCCACCGGGAGCAAAACCGAGUAGGGACGGGACGAGGGAAACCCUCAAGGCGGUUCCAGCCUGCCCGUCCGGGUUGGUUGCUUCAGGCCGGCAGCAAUGCCGGCCGCAGAUGAAUGGCCGUCACGUCGCAGCUUCGGCUGUGGCCAUACAGAACCCGGCUUACAGACCGGCUGGCGCU